Molecule: long non-coding RNA, 852 nt
Organism: Bombus pyrosoma
Lineage: Eukaryota; Metazoa; Arthropoda; Insecta; Hymenoptera; Apidae
Exons: 3
Source: RefSeq, a predicted model, not a curated record
GUUGUUACAGACUAUCAGGGAUAUUGCUACUGAGGAGAAAACCUCAAUUAAAAAUCAGCAUUUAAUAUACCAUACAUAUGUAGUAUUUUAAUUACAAAAAUUUUACAUUUCCAUUGUUUCAGAUUUAUCAUAAGGAGUAAAAAAUAAAACAUUUUUAAUAUGAAGGUGUUGUAUUUUUUAUGUAUGUUCCCCCUUUUAAUGAAAUAAAUAAAUUAAAAAGGUUUUAACAUAUCAUGUACCUUGUACACAAUGAAUAUAUAUCACACAUCCAUAUAACAUAUUGUUAUUACAUUUAUUUAAUGUUAGAUAUACUAAAUGUACUAUGUAACAAAUAUGUUAUAUAGCUAGAAUAAUUCGUUUGCAAAUACUAUACUAAAAAUGAUUUUUAAAUAUAACGUAACUAUUUAUUUUCAUUCAUAUAAAUCUAUCCUUACUUUAGAUUUGACAUGUCUUAAAGGAAGCUGGAUCUAAUUUUGAUAAAGGUCUCAUUUAUUUAAAAUUUUUUUUAUUUUCUAAUUUGUUAAUUUACAUUUUUCAAUUCUAAAACGAUCAAGACAUGUGAUAUGAUAAACAUUAUCAGCAGUGAUUAAUAAUAUUAAUAAUUACUUUUAUUAAACAUUAAUAAUAUUUACUCUUUAUAUUUAUUUACAGUUGUUAAAACAACAAUUUUCUUACAAGAUAUUAAUGAGUUUAGCGAUGUAAAUGAAGUCUACAAAGAAUUUUUUAAGGAGAACUGUCCAGCUAGAUGUACAUUCCAAGUUGGAAAGUUACCAAUGGGAGCAAAAUUUGGAAUUGAAGCUAUUGCUGUUGUUGGUGAGGUAGAAACAAUUUGAAUAUUAUAAGCAACAUUAA